AUUGAACGCUGGCGGCAGGCCUAACACAUGCCAGUCGAGCGGAUGAAGGGAGCUUUCUCCUGGAUUCAGCGGCGGACGGGUGAGUAAUUCCCAGGAAUCUGCCUGGUAGUUGGGGAUAACUUCCGGUAACGGGCGCUAAUCCCGCAUACGUCCUUAGGUAGAACGCCGGGGUUCUUCGGACUUCACGCUAUCAGAUGAGCCUCGGUCGCAUUAGCUCGUUGGUGUGGUAAAGGCCUACCAAGGCGACGUUCCGUAACUGAUCUGCGAGGCUGACCAGUCACACUGGAACUGAGACACGGUCCAGACUCCUACGGGAGGCAGCAGUAGGGAAUAUUCGACAAUGGGCGAAAGCCUGACCCAGCCAUGCCGCGUGAGUGAUGAAGGUCUUCGGAUUGUAAAGCGCUUUAAGUCGGGAGGAAGGGCAGUAAGUUAAUACCUUGCUGUUUUGACGUUACCAACAAAAUAAGCACCGGCUAACUCCGUG
RNAcentral lists this ribosomal RNA (484 nucleotides) under uncultured bacterium. Its description in RNAcentral is "partial 16S ribosomal RNA". It matches the Rfam family "Bacterial small subunit ribosomal RNA", at positions 30 to 507 of the family's 1533-position model. The record is from RNAcentral.